This 253-nucleotide ribosomal RNA is filed under the name uncultured bacterium. RNAcentral's name for it is "partial 16S ribosomal RNA". It matches the Rfam family "Bacterial small subunit ribosomal RNA", at positions 524 to 776 of the family's 1533-position model. The record is from RNAcentral.
UACAGAGGGUGCGAGCGUUAAUCGGAAUUACUGGGCGUAAAGCGUGCGUAGACGGUUUCGUAAGUCGGGUGUGAAAUCCCCGGGCUCAACCUGGGAAUUGCAUUCGAAACUGCGAGGCUAGGGUACGGAAGAGGGAAGCGGAAUUUCUGGUGUAGCGGUGAAAUGCGUAGAUAUCAGAGGGAACAUCAGUGGCGAAAGCGGCUUCCUGGUCCAGUACCGACGUUCAGGCACGAAAGCGUGGGGAGCAAACAGG